GAGGGUAUAGCUCAGUGGUAGAGAGUGUGCUUAGCAUGCAUAAGGUCCUGGGUUCAAUCCCCAGGACCUCCA
This 72-nucleotide transfer RNA is filed under the name Camelus bactrianus (Bactrian camel). It matches the Rfam family "tRNA". Rfam says of the family: Transfer RNA (tRNA) molecules are approximately 80 nucleotides in length. Their secondary structure includes four short double-helical elements and three loops (D, anti-codon, and T loops). Further hydrogen bonds mediate the characteristic L-shaped molecular structure. tRNAs have two regions of fundamental functional importance: the anti-codon, which is responsible for specific mRNA codon recognition, and the 3' end, to which the tRNAs corresponding amino acid is attached (by aminoacyl-tRNA synthetases). tRNAs cope with the degeneracy of the genetic code in two manners: having more than one tRNA (with a specific anti-codon) for a particular amino acid; and 'wobble' base-pairing, i.e. permitting non-standard base-pairing at the 3rd anti-codon position. RNAcentral also lists the same sequence under 1 other name. The record is from Rfam by way of RNAcentral. Lineage: Eukaryota; Metazoa; Chordata; Mammalia; Artiodactyla; Camelidae.